CAUAUGCUCUUUCUUCUCCUGUUUGAGGUACAGGUAGAUCCCGUUAUACGCGAUUUCGUUAUCCGCGAUUUCGGAUAUACGCGGUUUUCGUUUAAUAGCGCCAUCUAUCGCCAAUAUACGAAAGCUCUUUUAUUUUUGUUAGGAGUCGAAUUCAGUUUUGGUUUUUUUAUCCGUGUUUGUACACAUUUAGCACAUCACCGGUUAUCUGUGAAUAAUUAGGUUGCUAUACAUCAGUUUGGACGAGAUCAGCUGAGUUUCUAAGUUAUAUGCGAAAAGAUUUAUUAUUGUAGCACUUAAAAUGCCGCCGAAACGUAAAGAAAGUGUUACUAAUUGAAGGAAGAAAGCGGGUCCGAA
This 354-nucleotide long non-coding RNA is filed under the name Androctonus crassicauda. Lineage: Eukaryota; Metazoa; Arthropoda; Arachnida; Scorpiones; Buthidae. The record is from RNAcentral.